RNAcentral lists this ribosomal RNA (468 nucleotides) under uncultured bacterium. Its description in RNAcentral is "partial 16S ribosomal RNA". It matches the Rfam family "Bacterial small subunit ribosomal RNA", at positions 28 to 507 of the family's 1533-position model. The record is from RNAcentral.
GACGAACGCUGGCGGCGUGCUUAACACAUGCAAGUCGAACGGAAAGGCCCUGCUUUUGUGGGGUGCUCGAGUGGCGAACGGGUGAGUAACACGUGAGUAACCUGCCCUUGACUUUGGGAUAACUUCAGGAAACUGGGGCUAAUACCGGAUAGGAGCUCCUGCUGCAUGGUGGGGGUUGGAAAGUUUCGGCGGUUGGGGAUGGACUCGCGGCUUAUCAGCUUGUUGGUGGGGUAGGGGCUUACCAAGGCUUUGACGGGUAGCCGGCCUGAGAGGGUGACCGGCCACAUUGGGACUGAGAUAGGGCCCAGACUCCUACGGGAGGCAGCAGUGGGGAAUAUUGCACAAUGGGCGGAAGCCUGAUGCAGCAACGCCGCGUGCGGGAUGACGGCCUUCGGGUUGUAAACCGCUUUCUCCUGUGACGAAGCGUGAGUGACGGUAAUGGGUAAAGAAGCACCGGCUAACUACGUG